GAUGAAGGCUUUCGGGUUGUAAAGCACUUUUGUCAGGGAAGAAACGGUCCGGGCUAAUACCUCGGACUUCUGACGGUACCUGAAGAAUAAGCACCGGCUAACUACGUGCCAGCAGCCGCGGUAAUACGUAGGGUGCAAGCGUUAAUCGGAAUUACUGGGCGUAAAGCGUGCGCAGGCGGUUUACUAAGACAGGUGUGAAAUCCCCGGGCUUAACCUGGGAACUGCAUCUGUGACUAGUAGACUAGAGUUUGGCAGAGGGGGGUGGAAUUCCUGGUGUAGCAGUGAAAUGCGUAGAUAUCAGGAGGAACACCGAUGGCGAAGGCAGCCCCCUGGGCCACCACUGACGCUCAUGCACGAAAGCGUGGGGAGCAAACAGGAUUAGAUACCCUGGUAGUCCACGCCCUAAACGAUGUCAACUAGUUGUUGGAUCUUUUCUGAUUUGGUAACGAAGCUAACGCGUGAAGUUGACCGCCUGGGGAGUACGGCCGCAAGGUUAAAACUCAAAGGAAUUGACGGAAUCUC
This 522-nucleotide ribosomal RNA is filed under the name uncultured bacterium. Its description in RNAcentral is "bacterial SSU rRNA". It matches the Rfam family "Bacterial small subunit ribosomal RNA", at positions 407 to 922 of the family's 1533-position model. The record is from RNAcentral.